ACGGAGGGAGCUAGCGUUGUUCGGAAUUACUGGGCGUAAAGCGCACGUAGGCGGCUUUGUAAGUCAGAGGUGAAAGCCUGGAGCUCAACUCCAGAACUGCCUUUGAGACUGCAUAGCUUGAAUCCAGGAGAGGUGAGUGGAAUUCCGAGUGUAGCUGUGAAAUGCGUAGAUAUGCGGAGGAACACCAGUGGCGAAGGCAGCUCACUGGACGGGUAUUGACGCUGAUGUGCGAAAGCGUGGGGAGCAAACAG
RNAcentral lists this ribosomal RNA (251 nucleotides) under uncultured prokaryote. RNAcentral's name for it is "partial 16S rRNA". It matches the Rfam family "Bacterial small subunit ribosomal RNA", at positions 525 to 775 of the family's 1533-position model. The record is from RNAcentral.